GGGUGUAUAGCUCAGUUGGUUAGAGCGCACGACUGAUAAUCGUGAGGUCGGUAGUUCAAGUCUACCUAUACCCACCA
This 77-nucleotide transfer RNA is filed under the name Candidatus Altimarinota bacterium. RNAcentral's name for it is "tRNA-Ile". It matches the Rfam family "tRNA". Rfam says of the family: Transfer RNA (tRNA) molecules are approximately 80 nucleotides in length. Their secondary structure includes four short double-helical elements and three loops (D, anti-codon, and T loops). Lineage: Bacteria; Candidatus Altimarinota. The record is from RNAcentral.